GGCACUUUGGCGGAGUGGUUAACGCGAUAGCCGUAAGUUUCUCAUCGAAUAAGCACUGCUCUUUCUGUUACUAACCAAAAAACACAGUGCUAAGCUAUUUCCUUCGGGAGCCAGGGUUCGAAUCCCUGAGGUGUCG
This is a non-coding RNA of Diaporthe citri, 136 nucleotides long. The record is from the annotation of a RefSeq genome assembly. NCBI's taxonomy places the organism in Eukaryota, Fungi, Ascomycota, Sordariomycetes, Diaporthales, Diaporthaceae.